GUAGGGUGCAAGCGUUGUCCGGAAUUACUGGGUGUGAAGGGAGCGCAGACGGCACUGCAAGUCUGAAGUGAAAGCCCGGGGCUCAACCCCGGGACUGCUUUGGAAACUGUAGAGCUAGGGUGCUGGAGAGGCAAGCGGAAUUCCUAGUGUAGCGGUGAAAUGCGUAGAUAUUAGGAAGAACACCAGUGGCGAAGGCGGCUUGCUGGACAGUAACUGACGUUCAGGCUCGAAAGCGUGGGGAGCAAACAGGAUUAGAUACCCUGGUAGUCCACACUGUAAACGAUGAAUACUAGGUGUGCGGGGACUGACCCCCUGCGUGCCGCAGUAAACACAAUAAGUAUUCCACCUGGGGAGU
This 355-nucleotide ribosomal RNA is filed under the name uncultured bacterium. RNAcentral's name for it is "bacterial SSU rRNA". It matches the Rfam family "Bacterial small subunit ribosomal RNA", at positions 527 to 881 of the family's 1533-position model. The record is from RNAcentral.